GAGAAAACCCGAAAAAGCCUGGAGCCCCGCAUAAUGUCCGGAGAUAACUUUGAUGGACGGACAGGAAGCUUGUGCGUCCGCCGUGCAGUUUAUUAUGAUCCUGAAACUGGCAAGGAGGACCCCUCAAAGAAUGGAGUCUGCAGUAACUUCCUAUGCAAUGCAAAACCUGGGGACAAGAUUCAGCUGACAGGUAACUUCCUGAUGGAUGUCGUCUGUGUGUUUACUUGCCUUACUUCUAUGAGAGCCUCUAACCACAAUGGUAUUUCUUUUGGUUAAUGUACUCCCUGAAAUUCACCUGGUAGAGCAUCCAUUUGUCAAUUCUUAUAUUCUUUAUAAGGAUAUUAAAAUACACAUUUAGCUAGAGAUGAAAAUUAAGACAUAGCAGGAACAACCCUGCUUCCAGUGCAUUAAGAAACAUGAUGUCCUUUUCAGUGUUAAAGGCUUGCACUUUGCAACAUUCUGAUAUAUGCCAUUAAAACACUAGCCCACAGCAAAUGUCACAAUGUAAAAGCGACCAAGAAGCAAAGAUCCUCUGUUAAUAUGACUAUGUCCCUGCACUUUAUAUCUCUGUCUUGUUUUGUCCCAUCUUUAGUUAGACUCGCAUGGUAUCUUUAAAGACUUCUGAUUACCCAUAUGCGACAACUAGAGCAUCUUUUUCCCUUUCAGAAAAAAUGCUUUCUUUUCUAAGUAGCCCUCAGAUAUGCCAUUACUUGUAAAUCUUGCUAGUAUAAAUUAUAAUUGUUCUUUCAUAUUAGUUCAUGGAAGACUGGAUGUUUUAAUCUCAAAGCAUCUCAUAUUAUCUCAUAACCGUACAACCUUAUUGCGAUUUGAGAGUGCAGCAUUGCUGAAGUACUUAUAUUUUAUACCUGUAGGUAUGACAAAGCCCUCAGCAGGGAGCAGAAGAACAGGAGUGGUGGCAAGAUGUACGUCCAGGACAAGAUCGAGGAGUACAGCGAUGAGAUUUUCAAACUUCUGGACAAUGGUGUGCACAUCUACUUCUGCGGUUUGAAAGGGAUGAUGCCUGGGAUUCAGGACAGCCUCAAGAAGGUGGCGGAGCAGAGAGGGGAAAGCUGGGAGCAGAAGCUGUCGCAGCUCAAGAAGAACAAGCGAUGGCACGCAGAGGUUUACUAGGUUGCAGGUGUUGUGAUUGUUUUGCUGCGAUCCAAUGCAAAGAAGAGACGGACACAUGAUUGAAACUGAAUGAUGAAUGAUUCCUGCGGUGGUAUAAGGUUUCUUUGGCAAUGGUGAAAACCAUAACCGCCCAUGUAACUCAUUAUAGCUUUGCUUCCGCGUCGCGUGAUGCACACGCUUUGCUACCGUUUCCAUCUCGCAGAGAGGUGUCUGUCCAGGUCGUACGUUUACGAACCCUCCUCUUGGAGCAGCCUUUGCAUUACUGUUCUGUGUGACCCCAUCUUGUCUUCAUCAAAAUGCUUUGCAUUACUGCUCUUAUGAAAAGAAAAAUACAUGGAUCAAGGAAGAAGCCUUUGCAUAGCUGAUGUUCGAUGCUUGCCCUUUUGUGACGAUCUACAGAUCUCCUAAGCGCGUCGUGAAUGAUGGUGUUGAAAUAUGCAAUGCAUACUUGGAAUAUUCUAAAAGAUCGUGGAGAUCUCAACAGACUAAUUUUGCCAUAUAUAAAGAUAAGAUCAUGGUAAGGUAAGAAAGUUCUAGAAAAUUGGAGAGAACGCAUGAGCCAUAGUUGCCAUGCUUCAUGAUGAUGUGUAGAAUACUCUAAAACUAAAUAUUUUAGCAUGGUAGAAAUAUAAGAAACUAGAUAAAGAUGAGAAGGGUUCUACAGUUAGGAUAUUUAGUAUGGAAGAGUGUAUAAAUUGCCACAUGGCAACACCAUAAUGAUCUCAAGUAGCCAUACCAUACCAUGGCAUAAGAGGUCUCAUGUAGGAGAUUGCAAGGUAGCCAUAUAGUGUAGUGGUGUCAUGGUAGAAUAGCUAUACAAAGAGUGUGCAAGUGAGUCUUGUAUCAAAUUGAGUAGUGAAUAAAUGUUUAAGUUUCCUUGUAGAGAGUUGGUCUCCCGCAUUGGUGUCAGUGCGAAUAUCUUCUCAAAGUAGUGUGGGUAAGAGUCUAAAAUAAAGUAGUAGCAUACUACUUUGGUGCCACUUCUAGAAAGUCGGUGUCAAGUUCGGGACGCCGAUUUCUCAAAAGAUGGCUUAGAAUCCUUGGCUCGCUGGCAAGAGAUGAUGCAAUCUGAAAACUGUCCAAGAAUUUGCGACGCCACCCAACCUACACAAAAUCUCAUUAUCAUCGCAACUCACAAAGCAAAAAUUCAUUGUGUGAGCAGCGUAUAGAUAGACCAUCACAACAACCAGAAAGGAAAUCCACCAUGUCACACCAUUUAUAUUUAGAUCAUAAAAUUUGGAUAUUCAUAUCAUCGUGGUACUUUCAGUUCUUUUAAAGAAGUAAAAACUAGGUAAUCUACCAAAUCUGUCACAGUCAUCCCAUCAUUGCCCAAGUUCUGUUCCAUUUUUGCUGGGUGUGAUCUGCAAUAAGUUGAAGUAUAUAUAAUUUCAGCAUAGAGAACUAAUUGAAAAGAAAUUAACAAAACUAUUAGACAAGUUUAACUAAAGAAUGCGCAUGGUGAAUUACCUGUUCUCAUUCAGUUCUAGCAAUUCGAAGCUCAUUUCUUAGUUUGGCAAGUUUAAGAGCCAUGGAAGCUGAUGAUGUAGUUUGUGCCUUUACGAUUUCCUUGAUCGACUCGGCCUGCGCCAAGUUCGCUUUGACUACUGUGGUAUAGUCCUUGAUAAGAUCUUUGAUUUCUGCAACAUCCUUCCUGGUCUGUCUCAGGGCUUCAUCAAGGGAUUCGACGCGCUUGUGGAUAUUAACGAACUUAAUAGCAGUCGGUUUCUGUAAAAGUUCAAUUCAAGAAUUAGUUAUCAUCCGUAAGCAAUUAAGUAGGAGAUAAACCCAAACUAAGCUAGGAUGCUACAGAAAAGUCCGAUCUAGUGCUUAAACAUGAACGCCAUGCUUAUACAGCCUCUUGAACAUAUUAACUAAUAUUGACGAACACAGAAAAUUGAUGAAACAAGAAUCCAAGAAGUGUAGGAGCAAUGUGAUACUUAAGGUAUGACUUUACUACCACCUUAGCCUACAGCACUAACCUAAACAAUUCUCUUUAAUUAGAAGUUUUUAUCUUCAUUGCAGAUUCUGUAUGGAAAUACAAUACUGUACAAUACAGGAACCUGGUAAAACUUGUCUAUAAAAGCAAAUAAUAACAUAAAGUGAACCAUCUUUAGUUGCUUACUAGUUGCUUAAACAUGUAAGCAAAGUUCAUUCAAUCAAGCAAUUUGAUUAUUCCUAAUUUCCCACUACCUUGCCAGAAACUUAGCCUAUUGGUUGCAGUGCACUCAAAUUAAACAGGUUGCUUAUGUAUGUGCCCCUCACAGAAAAAUUAUCCCAAUGCUUUUCACAUCAUGUAGGCAGUAUAGAUAGUUUGCAGAGAUGAUGAGUCAGGUCAGAUAUAGGAUGAAUUCGAUUGUUAUAAACUAUCCAUAUUUUCUACCAUAAGAGGAUCAUCUAGCUUUCAUUACGUUCAUAGCAGAAGUGCAAGAGCACCACAAACCAAUGACCAGGUAUAAAAGGAUAUUAUCUCGAGCACCAAGCUCAGAAACUUUGCCCACAACACUUAGAUUCACAACUAAACGGUUUCUGGAUGAUGAUAGUUACCUCUUUUAAUCUCGCUUCCCUUGCAUCCAUCCAUUGGAUGAAACUGAAGGUGGGUUCCUCAGGAAUCUGGUAUCUCUGCUGUAACCAUAGUUCACCAUAAGUGUCGUGCCUGUCCAGUACAAUGGUAUCUUUCUCAUCCUUACCUGGUUCCACCUGAAAUAAAGAAGAUGCAUUAUCAAUAAACAUCUCACAAAUGUAGGUAGUGCAACCAGCAGACAAGUCACAAUCAGAAGUGUACUAAAUCCACUUUCCUAAUAAUGGAAUUGAACGGGAUAAGCAACUAGGAAUUCACUAUAAGUUAACUAGGUAAUGUUUGCUCAAAGAUCCACUAGCACAUAUGACAUAUAAAGAGGGUACCUUAUUGUCUGUUCUUUUCAUUGUGCGCUCAGUCGCAACCACAGUGAUGUCCUCAGAGUACCCUGCCUGGUGUUUGAUGUCCUGAGCGAAGGUUUGGGUCUUAACAAUAGCGCAGCCCCCAUGAAAGUGGAUGUCAUCCUUGAUAUCCACCCAAAAGUCCUCUGAAUUACUGAGCAGCAGUGUUUGGUGUGACCCAUUCAGUGUGAGGACUAUGGUCCAUCAAGGACUUGAUUUCACCAGUCAUAGUGUACUCGUGACGGAACCUGUUCUGAAGUUGGAUAUCUACAAGGAAACAGAAAACAACAUCAGUACUCCAGAAUAAUGUUGUAAAAAGGCAAGUAAAAUCUGUUGAGUGUUUAGAAUAUUUACAAGCUUACUUUCAAAGCAGUCUGGGACUAAUAGCUUUUCACCGGGCAAGCCCACCUUAAGACCCCUCGCCCCUCCUGGGGCCAUCUGCGCCAUCUACAGAGCCUAAAGCAAGUCCCACUGAAUCAGUAGCCUUAAAGCAAACUAGUGGUAAAAAUAUUUACAUAACCAUAUUGACUGAGUACCAAAACCAUAAAUAAAUAACCGCACUAGAUUAAUCUGAAGCACAUCAUUUCUUUAAAAAACAGCGAAAUCUUGCCACAACAAACAAUCACAGGGAAAAAAAACACUAUACAUGGUCAUAUCAAUUACAAGCAUAAGUACCAUUAUAUCAAUUACACCUUAGUGGUCCAAAUGUUUACAUAAUCAUAUUGACUAGUAACAAAACCAUUGAAUAUUUAGGAUGUUUUAGUAUACAAGCCUAUUAGAGAAUUUCCAUACAGAUUAUAAGAUUAUUUCAAAGAUCACAGGAGAUUAAUAUAUCGUUUCACACGAAAGGAGCUUAAUAUAUUUGAAACAUAUCAAAAUGAUUCCAAAUCUGAUACGAAACCAGUUCCUAUUUGAUCUUGGAUUGCGGAUCUGCAAAAUAUUUUUACCCAACAAAACAAGAAUACCCCGUGGGGGGGGGGGGGGGGGGGGGGGGGAAUUUGGACACUUCUCUAGGACACGAGGCAACAAAAAAAAAGGACGCCCCCUCAAAUUUGGGGGGGCUCCGCCCCCAAGCAUAAACCAGAUGCCGAGUGAACGAUUUAAAUUGGGCCUUCAGCGCCAAAACCACUUUUCCCCCCCAAUUAUAAGACCUCCCACGUGGUUAGAUGUAGGGGAUACUUUUUAAGGGGUAUCCCAGUUUGAGGAGUGAAAAGGGGGGAGUUUAUAAGACAGACACACGGGAAGGAAAUGAUUGCAUAAAAGGAACAUGAAAUCGCGUUUGCUUGAGAGGCAACAUUGAAUUUCACGAGGGUGAUGGNNNNNNNNNNNNNNNNNNNNNNNNNNNNNNNNNNNNNNNNNNNNNNNNNNNNNNNNNNNNNNNNNNNNNNNNNNNNNNNNNNNNNNNNNNNNNNNNNNNNCUUAAGUCCUAUGGAUCUCUAUAUAAAACUUGAAGAGCUGAGCACCGCUGUAAAUGUGUAGCUCCACUUAUUUUUCUUUUUGCCAAAUAUAAUUUGUGGAAAGAAGAACUCAAACCUUUUUUGGGUAAUGUAUGCAGGUUGAUGAUCAUGAAGUCAUUGCGUAUCUGCUCAGUACUGAAAUCAUUCCUCUGUGUCUGCGUACUAUGGACCUGGGCAGUGAGAUUUCGAAAACGGUAUUUACCUAUCUAGCUUAACCAUUACUCAAAACGUAAUAAUCUUCUAGGUUUGCUUCUAUGCGGAAUGUACAAUUGGCAUGCUCACUAUUCUGUCUGAAAUGAAAUAAAUAAAAAUCUCUCACCGUUUGUCUAGUUCACUAUUUGAGAUGUCAAACAAUUUCAUAUCUUUAGUGACUAGGAUCAUGCUGCAACCUAUUUUAUUUUUUUAGCAGAGAAAUUACUUUCAUAAUGUGAUACUUGUGUAGCUUCAUUUUUGUUUGCUUUGAAUGUAAGACUUGAUUUUAUUCUUCAACACGAGACUUUCUACUAUAUAGAUUACCUUGUCGAAGCUCAUGAUAUUGUGCAUUUUCAAGGGGGGGAACAAAUUGUUUCUUGAAAUAUAAUUACCCAUACAGUUAACCUGCCAGGAAUUUAACUAGAUCAUUUUAUCUUUUGCGAUGAGAUAUGGAUUUAUUGCUUCAGUUUCGUUAACUCAAUCAAGUUAUACAUGCAGGUGUCUACUUUUAUUGUUCAAAAGAUUAUACUUGAUGAUGCAGGACUUAAGUACAUAUGUGCUACUCGUGAACGUUUCUUUGCUUUAGCCAAUGUGUUAGCUCAGAUGCUUGAAGGACUUGUUGAACAGCCUUCCCCAAGGUUGCUGAAGCACAUAAUCCGCUGCUACCUAAGGCUGACUGACAAUCCAAGGUUUAUGCUGUGCUGUGUGCAGAUUUCGAUUUUGUAGUACUGCUCUCUAUGCUCUCCCUAAACCUUUCCAUGCUUUUGCAGUGCCUGCCAUGCGCUACGCACUCACCUCCCCACCGUGUUGAGGGACGGGACAUUCAACGACUUUCUUGAGGUGAUCUCUGCACAAGUCAUUGUGCUUGACCAAAUAAGCUUUACGUCAUAACCUAUGCUGCAAAUUCCAACCGUUCACUGACUCUGAAAUCUUGCUGCUAAGUCAGAAAGACCUCACAACCAGGCUAUGGCUCCACCAGAUGCUGCAUAACAUCGCGAUGGCAAACAGUGGAGGCGGCGCCCCUCACACGGGCCUGAAUCGCAUCAUGGGGAUGUGAACGAAGCUGGACGCGGAACGCGGCAACUCAUCAUCAUCUGUCAAGCUAGUAGUAGCCCUAGCGGAAGGUGCCAGUAGUUUCUCCUUUUGGAGAAAAAUAGUGUAUGCCGUUUUAGAGGUUGGGUAGUGUUUAGAGUUGUAAAAAAGCAGGUAACCAUCUAUCAGUUUCAGAUUAGCAUCCCAAAGAUGGAGAAGGGUCAAACCUGUUCUCUUAUGUUGUGAUGAGAACUCUAAUCAUAUAUAUAGGUCGUUGGAAUUGGUCAAUUAUACUGGUGUUCUUUGCGCUGCAGAGACUGCGUCCUAUCCUCCUACUCCCUCCGUCCCAAAUUACUAUUCGUUUUUGCUUGGAUACAUAGUUUUUUAUAUGUACCUAGAUAUAUACUUAUGUCUAGUAUAUAUCCAGAUACAAUGCUAAAGUUAUGUAUUUAGAAAAGUCAAUGCUAAAGUUAUGUAUUUAGAAAAGUCAAAACGAAUAAUAAUUUGGGACGGAGGGAGCACGUCACAGUGUAGGGUUGCACUGUUCAGGAGAAAGCCACAGGUUUUACCGCUACUGGUUUUUUUUAUNNNNNNNNNNNNNNNNNNNNNNNNNNNNNNNNNNNNNNNNNNNNNNNNNNNNNNNNNNNNNNNNNNNNNNNNNNNNNNNNNNNNNNNNNNNNNNNNNNNNNNNNNNNNNNNNNNNNNNNNNNNNNNNNNNNNNNNNNNNNNNNNNNNNNNNNNNNNNNNNNNNNNNNNNNNNNNUGGGAUAGGUUGCAAGUUCAUCGCAUAUGACCAAUCAUGCAUGUCCACGCGCAUCUUAAGUAAUUCCGGGCACUUGCUGCUGAACUCUAUAGCAGUCUUGUCAGUCAUUUAGGCUGAAUUUCUGAUGAUUCUGAACUCACAGCGUCCUCAAGCCGAUAGUAAUGAGCUAAGUUUGGCCUUUUUAUUGUGCUCUAGGGUACCAACAAUCUUAGCUUCGGCAACAAAUCAUGGGUUGGUGGCACAUUGGCGUGGGAGAGCAAGGCAAUUCGGCCCAGGCACGCGAACAAGGUGCUCUGCAUGUCGGUCCAGCAGGCGAGCAAGAGCAAGGUUUCCGUUGCGCCGCUCGAUUUGGAGAGUGCCAAGGAGCCACCUCUCAACACAUACAAGCCGAAGGAGCCCUUCACGGCCACCAUUGUCUCGGUGGAGAGGCUUGUAGGUCCCAAGGCUCCAGGGGAGACUUGCCACAUCGUCAUUGACCAUGGUGGCAAUGUGCCUUACUGGGAGGGCCAGAGUUACGGUGUGAUUCCUCCUGUAAGUUUUCCCUGCUCCCAAUCUUUUCCUGUCUGAGGAUGCAUGUAUUAGUUUUCAUCAUACUUGGUUUCCCCUUGUAUUAUCAGAUAAUGAAAAAUCAAGUUACCUGUGGAUGGUGCAAAAUAUGCUAUACUCUAUACAUAAAGGCAGGCAUACUGAUGUUCAUUUUGAAUCUGUAGAGAUUGUUUCAGUAUGCCAUUCAAUAUACUGCAGGACUAGGCUAGAAAAAAAUAUACCCAUGAAUGAAUACAUAGCAUCUUGUGCAGCAAAAUUGCUUUCGAUUGAUCAUAUAGUACCAAUUGUUUAUUCAUCUCUUUUAUUAUCCAUCAUGUUCUCUCUUCACAUUCACAACUCUCUGAACCCUGAGUGCAUUUUUAUGUGUCAGGGAGAAAACCCGAAAAAGCCUGGAGCCCCGCAUAAUGUCCGGAGAUAACUUUGAUGGACGGACAGGAAGCUUGUGCGUCCGCCGUGCAGUUUAUUAUGAUCCUGAAACUGGCAAGGAGGACCCCUCAAAGAAUGGAGUCUGCAGUAACUUCCUAUGCAAUGCAAAACCUGGGGACAAGAUUCAGCUGACAGGUAACUUGAUUCAGUUGACAGGUAACUUCCUGAUGUAUGUAAAGGCACUCCUGUGUGUUUACUUGCCUUACUUCUAUGAGAGCCUCCUAACCACAAUGGUAGUUCUUUAGUUCUUUUGGUUAAUGUACUCCGUGAAAUUCACCUGGUAGAUCAUCCAUUUCUCAAUUAUUAUAUUCUUUAUAAGGGUAUUAAAUAUACAUUUAGCUAGAGAUGAAAAUUAAGACAUAGCAGGAACAACUCUGCUUCCAAUGCAUUAAGAAACAGUUGGUCGUUUUCAGUGUCACAGGCUUGCACUUUGCAACAUUCUGAUAUAACCAUGUGCAAAAAUGCCAUUGAAACACUAGUCCCAAGAAAACUUUGACAUGUAAAAGCAACCAAGGAGCUAAGAUCCUCUGUAAAUAUGACUAUGACGCUGCACUUUAUAUUUCUGUCUUGUUUUGUCCCAUCUUUAGUUAGACUCGCAUGGUAUCUUUUAAAGACUUCCGAUUACCCAUAUAGUAUGCGACAAGUAGAGCAUAUUUGUCCCUUUCAGAAAAAAAUGUUUUCUUUCCUAAGUAGCUCUCAGAUAUGCCACUACUUGUAAAUCUUGCUAGUAUAAAUUUAUAAUUGUUCUUUCAUAUUAGUUUAAUGAAGACAGUGGAUGUUUUAGCCUCAAAGCGUCUCAUACGAUUUCAUCAUGAGUUCAGGUCCCUCUGGCAAAAUAAUGCUUCUACCUGAGGAGGAUCCAAACGCAACCCACAUCAUGAUUGCUACUGGUACCGGUGUGGCACCAUUCCGUGGGUACCUGCGCCGCAUGUUCAUGGAAGAUGUCCCAAACUACAGAUUUGGUGGCCUGGCUUGGCUUUUCCUUGGCGUUGCUAAUUCAGACAGCCUUCUCUAUGACGAAGAGUUCACAAGCUAUCUUAAGCAGUAUCCAGACAAUUUCAGGUUAGAAUAACCUCAUCCAUCUUGCAAUCUCAUUUCAUGUACUCAUGCUACCCUUGUCCACAACUGUGCUUCGUUGUUGACUUUAGGUGCUUUUCAGUUUGCAUAACCGUACAACCUUAUUGCGAUUUGAGAGUGCAGCAUUGCUGAAGUACUUAUAUUUUAUACCUGUAGGUAUGACAAAGCCCUCAGCAGGGAGCAGACGAACAGGAGCGGUGGCAAGAUGUACGUCCAGGACAAGAUUGAGGAGUACAGCGAUGAGAUUUUCAAGCUUCUGGACAAUGGUGCGCACAUCUACUUCUGCGGUUUGAAGGGGAUGAUGCCUGGGAUUCAGGACACCCUCAAGAAGGUGGCGGAGCAGAGAGGGGAGAGCUGGGAGCAGAAGCUGUCGCAGCUGAAAAAGAACAAGCAAUGGCACGUCGAGGUUUACUAGGGUCUGAUAUUUGCAGGUGUUAUGAUUGUUUUGCUGCGAGCCAAUGCCAAGAAGAG
RNAcentral lists this long non-coding RNA (10010 nucleotides) under Setaria italica (foxtail millet). RNAcentral's name for it is "long non-coding RNA (SITA_LNC006431)". The record is from RNAcentral. Lineage: Eukaryota; Viridiplantae; Streptophyta; Magnoliopsida; Poales; Poaceae.